AGAUGAAUCAAAAGAGGGGGUCCCAUGAAAUUUAAAGUCAUCUUCAGGGCAUACAGGAAGACAGGUGUGUGCAUGGUGUGUCNGUCAGCUCGCUGUCGUGAGAUGUUGGGGUUUAUGUCCCGCCAACGAGCGCACACCCUUAUACUUCAGUUAGCCACGCGGUCAAGGGCGGGGCAUCCUCCUGGGAAGAACACGUGCCGAGGGAUAUAACCGUGGAGGGAAGGGUGGGGAUGACGAUCAAAAUACUAUUCCAUCGCCCCUUUUAUUGAUCNCGUGGGUCUGACCAACCAACUGUUGCUAACAAUGGGUCGUAAACAAAGGGAGGCAGACGCCGC
RNAcentral lists this ribosomal RNA (335 nucleotides) under uncultured bacterium. RNAcentral's name for it is "partial 16S ribosomal RNA". The record is from RNAcentral.